Molecule: non-coding RNA, 564 nt
Organism: Hemiscyllium ocellatum (epaulette shark)
Lineage: Eukaryota; Metazoa; Chordata; Chondrichthyes; Orectolobiformes; Hemiscylliidae
Source: the annotation of a RefSeq genome assembly
GUUUGGUGAUUUCAUACAAUAAGCCCACGCGAUUCUGCAAAGAUGUUUGUGUCACACCUUUAUAUUUUAAUCCUGGUGUUAACUGAUGCGGCGUCAGUGCAGAUCCGACAGACUCCCGCUUUUGUAUCCCAACGCCCAGGCACUUCAAUCAGUAUAGAAUGCGUUUGCACAGAAGCUACAGCUAGCUCAUCCUUCUACUGGUAUCGAUGGCAUCCUGGUGGACAGCCUCAGAACCUUUUUUAUUCUUAUGCUGGAACAAUCACCCCGAACACUGAAGUUGACGGCUUCACCGCCAGGAAAUCUGGCAGCACUCACUUCUACCUCGAGUCUUCCAGCCUGGGGGUGAAUCACACAGCCGUGUAUUACUGCGCCUGGAGUUUACACACUGACUAAGAGAGAUGGGGAUGUUUAACAAAAACCCUCAGCGGAUCCGUAUGUGUCAGUCUGCCAGCCUCUCCUUUCUUCUAUGUCAAUCGAACUAUUAACUGAUUUGCGUAUCAAUCUAUUCGUUUCUAUAUCUUUUCCAAUUAUUUUUGAAAAGUCUUUUCUAAGAAGAGGAUUGAG